AGUUAGCGGUGCUCCGCCAAUAUAAAGUUGUAAAAGUUACUAGAAUUGUUAGUAAGUACUUAAUAUGCUAAAAUAUUAUUGUUAAGAGUGUUACAAACGUACUGAAAAUUGUUUUAUGUGUGGAUGGAUGACAUCUAAUGGUUUAUCAUUGAGUACAGCGGUUUGAGUAUGUAUGUGCGUCAGUAGGACACAGUGAUUUUAGUGAAUCAAUUAACUGGUGUUGUAUCUGUCCAGGUGGAAAAAUCACAGAACGAAAACCUUUCUCAUUGUUGUACUCUCUCUGCUCCAUCCAGGUAUAGAUAAUUGUUCAUUUGAUCUUCAAUUAAUUUUUGUAUCACUUUGUUCAAUUCAUCAAUUCUAAUUCAUGUUUGAUUUAAAAAUUUGCUGCAGAAGAUUAUAUCAUAUCUGAAUAAAUGUCUGUAACGAUUUAUCUGGCACUGUAUUUUUGAUGUUAUCAUUGUGAUUUUCACUGAGACCGCGCUGAGCACGCUGAGGAGAGGUGGAAAAAUCACAGAACGAAAACCUUUCUCAUUGUUGUACUCUCUCUGCUCCAUCCAGCACCUGCAUGCUCCAUUUCAAUAAACCCUCCAUCAGCAGCAGUUCCUGUGAUCCGUGUCUUCAUUUAUAACACAACGCAGAUCGAAACCGUGCCAUAGACAGGCCG
Carassius auratus (goldfish) is the source of this 664-nucleotide long non-coding RNA. RefSeq lists it as uncharacterized. Lineage: Eukaryota; Metazoa; Chordata; Actinopteri; Cypriniformes; Cyprinidae. The record is from RefSeq and is a predicted model, not a curated record. The transcript is spliced from 3 exons.